UACGUAGGGCGCAAGCGUUAUCCGGAAUUACUGGGCGUAAAGCGCACGUAGGCGGCUUUGUAAGUUAGAGGUGAAAGCCCGGGGCUCAACUCCGGAAUUGCCUUUAAGACUGCAUCGCUAGAAUUGUGGAGAGGUAAGUGGAAUUCCGAGUGUAGAGGUGAAAUUCGUAGAUAUUCGGAAGAACACCAGUGGCGAAGGCGACUUACUGGACACAUAUUGACGCUGAGGUGCGAAAGCGUGGGGAGCAACAGG
This 252-nucleotide ribosomal RNA is filed under the name uncultured bacterium. RNAcentral describes it as "partial 16S ribosomal RNA". It matches the Rfam family "Bacterial small subunit ribosomal RNA", at positions 524 to 775 of the family's 1533-position model. The record is from RNAcentral.